UACUUACCUUUCUACAAAUAGCACAGUCAACUGUUCAGUCUUGCUGUCUCACAGCUGAGGUGACCAAUUGUCCUGGUUUUCCCUGCAUGACGGAUUUUUCUGGAAGUGAGACUUCCGUGCUGAAGCAGAGGAAGGCGCAUCCCAGGGAGACUAGGAUGGUUGGUUACCCUAUAACAGAACAAAGAGCCUGAAUGACCAAUACCCCAUCCUGGAGGCUUGGAAGUCAUUGUUAAACAAUGUCGAUGUCAAAGCACCAGAAAGCAAAUGUCUCUGAGAAAAGGCUAUACCCCAGAAAAAUUAAAUUAGAAUCUUUGGGGUUGGACUUCAACAUCACCAGUAUUUUUUGAAGGUUGUGCCUGCCAAAUGUGCUGUCAAGGUUGAGAACUACUAUGUUAGGCUCAGAGCAACAGACCCUUGACCAUAAACUCCAGCCUGUGUGCAGAUCUAGGUUCUGCCUUACACUUGAGGAGCCAUCUGCCUGAAGCUUAGAACUCUGGGGUGACCCUGUGGCCCUUUGGUAUCCUGGUUGGAGCCCAGCUGCAACUUAACUUCUUGAAGAUCUGUUUUAUACAAAACCAGUGUGUGUACUGGCACAAGGCUUGGUAUUUACUUUUACCAAAACGUAAAACUCCACAUGCAGAUUGAGACACCUGGCUCUGCAGCAUCCAGGCUCAUUUACAAUACAAUUGUGCCUUCUACCAAGGCCUCUGAAGAGAAGUUUCAUCUAUGAAAAAUUCACCCAACACAUAAAAUAUAACCCAUAUUAUUUAAAUCUCCCUUAAUCAAGUAUAAUAAAUACUCUACAAAAUUAGAGCAUGAUGAAAUGCAAGGUUGAAAAGUAA
Panthera uncia (snow leopard) is the source of this 842-nucleotide long non-coding RNA. RefSeq lists it as uncharacterized. The transcript is spliced from 5 exons. Lineage: Eukaryota; Metazoa; Chordata; Mammalia; Carnivora; Felidae. The record is from RefSeq and is a predicted model, not a curated record.